RNAcentral lists this ribosomal RNA (423 nucleotides) under uncultured bacterium. RNAcentral's name for it is "bacterial SSU rRNA". It matches the Rfam family "Bacterial small subunit ribosomal RNA", at positions 358 to 773 of the family's 1533-position model. The record is from RNAcentral.
GGAAUAUUGGACAAUGGGCGCAAGCCUGAUCCAGCCAUGCCGCGUGUGUGAAGAAGGCCUUCGGGUUGUAAAGCACUUUCAGCGGGGAGGAAGGGGCGUGUGUUAAUAGCACAUAUUCUUGACGUUACCCGCAGAAGAAGCACCGGCUAACUUCGUGCCAGCAGCCGCGGUAAUACGAGGGGUGCAAGCGUUACUCGGAAUUACUGGGCGUAAAGCGUGCGUAGGUGGUUUGUUAAGUCUGAUGUGAAAGCCCUGGGCUCAACCUGGGAAUUGCAUUGGAUACUGGCAGUCUAGAGUGCGGUAGAGGGUAGCGGAAUUCCCGGUGUAGCAGUGAAAUGCAUAGAUAUCGGGAGGAACAUCCGUGGCGAAGGCGGCUACCUGGACCAGCACUGACACUGAGGCACGAAAGCGUGGGGAGCAAAC